Molecule: ribosomal RNA, 423 nt
Filed under: uncultured bacterium
Lineage: Bacteria
Description: bacterial SSU rRNA
Rfam family: Bacterial small subunit ribosomal RNA
Source: RNAcentral
AGAAUCUUUCUCAAUGGGCGCAAGCCUGAAGGAGCGACGCCGCGUGGGGGAUGAAGGGCUUCGGCCUGUAAACCCCUGUCAUUUGCGAACAAGAUCGGCCAUUUAAAAGAUAGCCGGUUUGAUGGUACCGAAAGAGGAAGGGACGGCUAACUCUGUGCCAGCAGCCGCGGUAAUACAGAGGGCCCAAGAGUUGUUCGGAUUCACUGGGCGUAAAGGGUGCGUAGGUGGUGGGGAAAGUUCGAUGUGAAAGCUCCGAGCUCAACUCGGAAAUGGCAUUGAAAACUACCCUGCUCGAGGAUUGGAGGGGGGACUGGAAUUCUCGGUGUAGCAGUGAAAUGCGUAGAUAUCGAGAGGAACACCAGUGGCGAAGGCGAGUCCCUGGACAACUCCUGACACUGAGGCACGAAAGCUAGGGGAGCAAAC